GCAACCGGUACUUGUUCCCACCUUUGUUACGUUUAUAAAAAAGGAACAAAAAAAAAAUAUAACUUUAUGUCACUGCUAUUCAUGCACUUUCAAAUAUAUGCACUGUCUCUCAUUUUCUUUUUAUUUGUUAUAAGCCUAGUCCUACAAGUCUUUUAUUUUAUUAUAACAGAAGUGUCUUUUUGUGCAUUCUAAUAUUCAAUAUACAGAAAUUGUAACAAGCAUCCAGGAAUCAAGUGCUUUUGCUUUCUAAAAUGGUUAAGAAUUGAGGCAAUGAGCAAGGAGUGGCAAUUGGGGGUUGGUGGUGGUAGGAGAAGAAAAA
Molecule: long non-coding RNA, 319 nt
Organism: Medicago truncatula (barrel medic)
Lineage: Eukaryota; Viridiplantae; Streptophyta; Magnoliopsida; Fabales; Fabaceae
Exons: 2
Source: RefSeq, a predicted model, not a curated record